Molecule: ribosomal RNA, 253 nt
Filed under: uncultured bacterium
Lineage: Bacteria
Description: partial 16S ribosomal RNA
Rfam family: Bacterial small subunit ribosomal RNA
Source: RNAcentral
UACAGAGGUCUCAAGCGUUGUUCGGAUUCAUUGGGCGUAAAGGGUGCGUAGGCGGCGCGGUAAGUCGGGUGUGAAAUCUCGGGGCUUAACUCCGAAACUGCAUUCGAUACUGCCGCGCUUGAGGACUGGAGAGGAGACUGGAAUUUACGGUGUAGCGGUGAAAUGCGUAGAUAUCGUAAGGAAGACCAGUGGCGAAGGCGGGUCUCUGGACAGUUCCUGACACUGAGGCACGAAGGCCAGGGGAGCAAACGGG